Helianthus annuus (common sunflower) is the source of this 2132-nucleotide long non-coding RNA. RefSeq lists it as uncharacterized. The record is from RefSeq and is a predicted model, not a curated record. The transcript is spliced from 6 exons. Lineage: Eukaryota; Viridiplantae; Streptophyta; Magnoliopsida; Asterales; Asteraceae.
CCGCCCCUUUCCUUUUCGUUCUCUCUCUCUCUUACUCAAAGAUUAAGAUUUUAGAUCUGGAUCUAUUCACCGUAAGCUAUUAUUCCCGAGGAUCUGGACACCUUCCCUAAGAUGGUUGAAGAUGGAUCCCUAGCCGGCGCAUCUGGUGAAGACGGUGGUGAUUUCAACCAUAUGUGAUCUUAUGCUUCAAUUUCUCUUAUUCUCUUAUGCUUCAAUUUCUCUUUUGUUGGUUUAUCAUUGAUCAUCCCAUUUCUUUCUCCAGAAUGCAGAAGAGAGAGAGAGAGAGAGAGAGAGAAAGAGAUAUGGAGUUAGAGAGAGAAAAGAGGAGCUACAAGAGGAGAGAGAGAGAACGGUGAUGGCAGCUGUUAGGUUCCGGCUGUGAAACCGACUUUUCAUUUUUCUGGUCUGGUGAAUCAGGAGAGCAAAUUCUUGAGGUAUUUAGGAUUUAUGUGGAACACAUUAUCAUGGGUUAUGGAAGCUGCUGCUAUUAAGGCGAUUGACAUUGCAAAUUGAGGAGGAAAGCCGCCUGAUUGGCAGUCUUUUGUGGGUAGUAUCACUCUGCUCAUAAUCAAUAACAAAGUUAGUUUCAUUGAAGCAAAGAACGCUGGUAAUGUAGCAGCUCGCAAGGCCAGUCUUGCCCCAGACAUAGAACACCAGUUCAAGGCGUCAUUGAUUAAUCUGCAGAAUGCGGAUUAAGGUCACUUGCUGUAGCAUACCAGAUAUUUGCAUAGAUGGGAUUUAGAUGCUGCUUUGGAAGUUCGCAGCUUGUGCCCGUCACUUGUUGGGCUGAAAUUGUUUCUGUCAUUUUUCAAGCUAUGGUUGAUGCUCGGUCAGCUUGAGGAACGGUUAGGUAAUUUACCACAAGUGAAAGAAGCCUACGAGUUGGGUUUAAAUCAGUGCCCAAAUUCAACUCCUUUAUGGCUCUCACUUGCUAAUGUCGAGGAGAGAAUGAGCGGUCUGAGUAAAGUUCGGGCCGUGCUCACAGUGGCUAGAAAAAGGAACCCGCAUUUCCCUGAAUUAUGGCUGGCUGCGAUUAGAGCCGAGUCACGACACGGUUCUUAAAAAAGAAGCUGAUAUUUUAAUGGCGAAGGCGUUACAAGAAUGCCCCAACAGUGGUAUUUUAUGGGCUGCUGCAAUCGAAAUGGCUCCACGACUGCAAAGGAAAACCAAGAGCUCUGACGCUUACAAGAAAUGCGAACACGAUCCACAUCUAAUAGCUGCUAGCUGGUUAUGUCUGUCUUUUGGCUUAAACAUGUAUUUCUUUUCUAAUUGGGAGUAUUGCUACUAUAUUGUUAUGCUUUUGAGUAUUUUUUUAUUCAUUUUUUGCUACUCCUUUUUUCUGUUGUUAGGGUUCUUAUGUGAUACUUUUUUUUUUCUUUCUUAUUGAAAUGUUUUGGUAAUUUUGUUUUGCUAUCACUUGUCAGCAGACUUUGAUUCUUCUAAAUCUGGAUUGUCUUGCGAAAUUGGUAACUUUUAGAUUUUUUUGCAAAACAUUUAGUGUUUUCACUCUUUUUUUCUUUCUUGUUGGUAGAGUGGGAAAGCACGCAGGUUGGGUAAUGGGUCAAAAUGGGUAACUUUUUUGCAUAAAGUUAUUUUAGUGUGUCAAAUAUUGUUAUAGAUGUUAUUUUAGCUCAACAAUUCUGCACAACUUUCAGCAUCGUUUGACCCAUAUGACAUGUUCCCUUUUCUUUUGUUUUUAUACCCGUUAGAGAUAAGCGUGGCCGAAUUAGCCCAUAUAAUUGUACAUAGUUAAAUAAUAUGUAGCGGUAUAUUUGAAGUAUAUGAAAUAUUAUGUGUUGGAAUUUUAUAAAUGAAAAUCAUUAUUAUAACUUAAAUUAAUACAUAGUAAAAAACAUGAGAAAUGAUAUUGUCAUCUUAAGUAUCACAUCAUUUGUGUAAUAGGUGCUAUUGAUUUAAAUAUGUAACAGAUGAUGCAUGGUCAUUAUCCAGUGGGCGUUAAAAUGGAACGGCAUCCAGACGAGCCAAUUUGUGAAGCCACUGAAGUAAUUGGAGCUUGAGAAAGAGCUAUAAUCUGUAUUUUUCAUCAAAUUUUGUAUUAUGGAGAUGAAUGUUGAGUUGGAUUUGUAGUUUUGAUGGUUUUAUACAAUCAGAAAGUUGAGUUGUUCAUUUCA